AGGAACGGAAUUCCUAAAGAAUCAUUACAAGGUUUUGCUCUUACCUCCGUUUUUCAUGUUUGUUUCCUUGGAACAAGGUUUGGGUCAAAACAUGCUGUUAGAAGAGAAGAG
This is a non-coding RNA of Pseudonaja textilis, 111 nucleotides long. Lineage: Eukaryota; Metazoa; Chordata; Lepidosauria; Squamata; Elapidae. The record is from RefSeq and is a predicted model, not a curated record.